This 433-nucleotide ribosomal RNA is filed under the name uncultured bacterium. Its description in RNAcentral is "partial 16S ribosomal RNA". It matches the Rfam family "Bacterial small subunit ribosomal RNA", at positions 29 to 507 of the family's 1533-position model. The record is from RNAcentral.
AACGAACGCUGGCGGCAUGCCUAACACAUGCAAGUCGAACGAGACCUUCGGGUCUAGUGGCGCACGGGUGCGUAACGCGUGGGAACCUGCCCUUAGGUUCGGAAUAACUCCCCGAAAGGGGUGCUAAUACCGGAUAAUGUCUUCGGACCAAAGAUUUAUCGCCUUUGGAUGGGCCCGCGUUGGAUUAGCUAGUUGGUAGGGUAAAAGCCUACCAAGGCGACGAUCCAUAGCUGGUCUGAGGGGAUGAUCAGCCACACUGGGACUGAGACACGGCCCAGACUCCUACGGGAGGCACCAGUGGGGAAUAUUGGACAAUGGGCGAAAGCCUGAUCCAGCAAUGCCGCGUGAGUGAUGAGGGCCUUAGGGUUGUAAAGCUCUUUUACCCGGGAUGAUAAUGACAGUACCGGGAGAAUAAGCUCCGGCUAACUCCGUG